UAUUGAUUCGCUGAUUUUAAAAUUUGAAAUAAUUUAAAUUACAGUUUUAUUUAUUUUUGAUAAUAUUAAUUCGCUGAUUUUAUAUUCAAAUGAAUUUUAAACCCGGUUACUCACGUGUGCAAUAUGUACUAAUAUCGAUAUUUUGUAAAAACUCUCGAUAACAAUUAAAUCCUAAAAAAUCAGUCCCUAUUCGUAAUUUCGUAAUCUAAGUUGCCCUACACUUGGAUUAUAUAGACAUACUGUUGAUAUUCCGUCGAUUUUUCCAAAACCUGUUUUAUCUGCAGUUAAUCAAAAGCUUUCCGUGUUAUUUUAUUUUUCACAUUUUUCGAAUCUAUAUAAAAUAUUUUAAAAGUUCAUUCAUUCUCUUUGAAAGAUUACAGACAAAGUAUAUACUAUAGCUGGUUUGGGUGCGUCUACUGAAUAGCUGGUAAUAUCCGCGGGGGAUUUAAUUACGCUUUAUUCGCGCUCAUUAUAUAUACAUUUAGCGCGAAAAUAAAUACCUAACGAACAUUAAUAUAUAGACGCAAAUAUGUGGAAAUGUUUAUCGUAGAAUGUUAACAAUGUUGGUUGCGCGAAAUGUAAUACCCACGAACUAAAAUAAGUCUGACUAGGACAACCGCGACAUUUGAUACCCGCGAACUAGGCGUGACCGGGACAACCGCGAAAUGUAUUAACCGCUAACAAGGUCGGACCGGGACAACCGCGAAAUGUAUUAACCGCUAACAAGGUCGGACCGGGCAACCGCGAAAUUUAAUAACCGCUAACAGGGUCGGACCGGGACAACCGCAAAAUGUAUUAACCGCUAACUAGGUCGGACCGGGCAACAGCGAUAUUUAUUAUCCGCUAACAAGGUCGGACCGGGCAACCGCGAAAUUUAAUAACCGCUAACAAGGUCGGACCGAGCAACCGCGAUAUUUAUUAACCGCUAACAAGGUCGGACCGGGCAACCGCGAAAUUUAAUACCCAUUAACUAGAUUUGACCGGGACAGCCGCGAAAUUUGAUACCCGUGAACUAGGUCUGACCAGGACAACCGCGAAAUAUUUACCCCGCGAUAUUUAACAACUAUACAGUAGAUCCAGUGUAUCAAGUUAAUUAUCAUCAAUAACGUAACGCCCAUUAUACAACAUUGUAUAAUGUUUGUGUUUCGUUUUCUGAGGUAGGUCAUUUAUACUUGGUAUCCCCUCAAAUGAUUUCUGACACCUUAUAUCCAAUAUCUGUUGUAUGUAAGAUGACACAAGGAUGAAUUACACUUAUGCACCACUCGUACAUCAAUUUUACAGAUGAAAUAAGUAAUGCUUUUUUAAAUCAAGUUACCAAAGUCUUUCAUUUCACGUAUCUUAUUAUUGCAUUUUUAUUAUUUUUUUUUUUCAUUUUUUUUUUUUUUUUGUGCUUUUUUUCUAGUUACCCCAUUAAAUUUAUUAUUCAAAAUUACGACUUCUAUACUAUGUAGAUUCAGAACAAGAUGGCGGUCCCCCGUUAGAAAAUGACGGAUUUUGGGAAUCCCAACUAAAAGGACAAUUUGUAUUUAAAUAAUUACUUAUCAUGAAUUGUGAACGAAACGAACAUGUGUAAAUAAUGUAUGUGAAGUGGUCCAAAUUAACGAGGAAUGUAUGAGUUUAAGGGAGAUGACUCUUGUUUACAAACUGUAUUUAAUUUAUUACUGCUAGCGUUGUACAUAGAUUUAUUUAUUAACAUGCGUGUGUUUGUUGUUGGCCGGUGUAAUGUGGAUGAAAUCAGAAGCAGAUUGACUGUUGUAUGUGAGGCGGAAUGAAGGACUGAUUUUGUACAUAUAACGGAAGUUUGUAAAUGAGUAUUUGUUAUUUAAAGAUGCUACGUCGCUGACAGUGUAUAAACGACUUCUCACAAAAAUGCAUACCCAAGACAUGGAAUAUAUCAAAUCAACACCAUCAAGUGAAAAGACAACGAAAACGAUAUUAUAAUGAUCACCUAUAAGACCUCAAGCUACAUACACAAUCCAGAGAUGAAUCCCAAUUGAACUUCUCCGGGAUAAUUAAUUGGUGACACAUUAGAAAUAAAAAGAUAAAUUCAGACUGUUAGGGUUUGGUAAUAGCUUGAUGUAAGUAAGUUUUAGUUUUGUAUGAAGGUAUACAUCAGGCUAUUCUUGUUCUUUAUUGGUCAUUAUCACGCUUUCGUCGGCGAUGUGGCAUCUUUAAGAAACACUUAAAUGUAACAUGAAGGCCAAGAAAUAAAUACAUUUAUUACGUUUGGAUGGUCAUUGGACUGAGAUUGAACACUUUAUGAACUACAAUUAAUAUUUUAAUUUUCAGGAUCAUUUUACCAUUUGUUGUAGAAUAUUUUGUAUAAAACCUAUUCCCUAUUUUUUAAUACCAAAUAUGCUUUGAAAUGAUGACUGUAUUAAUACGUUGGUUGGAUGAUUUCAGAAAUGUUCACUCUGUGUCAAAUAAAAGUGUUCCAAGAGGGAUAACUCUGUUUUGAUUAAAACAAUCCCGGGAAUCGCGACUGGGUAUGCCAAUUCUGUUUUCAUAUUGAAACAAAAAUUAAAACUAUAUCUAUUUUCAUAAACGUUAAAAAUUAGCAUUACUUAGUAAAAAAAACCCAUAAGAUUUGGUAAUCUUUCAACAAUUCCUCGAAAAUACCAUUUCAAACUUCAGUGUUAGUAGCUUAUUAAGCUGAACAGUGUCUGAAAAAAAACUGUCUCCAAGUUGUUAGGUUAAUUGAGAUACCAUAAGUGAGGUUAUAUUAAAACUAAACAGAUGUGAAUACAGGGUUCGUUAAUGUAUGUAGAAAUAUAGGUUACUUAUAUAAUUAUCAUCGAGUGAAAAUGUCGAUACAAUAAGAUAGUAAAACAAUGUCAAUUUGAUGUAUUACCGACAUCUAACGUAUUACAUACGACUAUGCAGCUAUUGAUUUAGCAUCGUGUGGUAGGUAUGUCUGACGUCACCAGUGAUGGACAGAUGCAAUUUUUUGACGUUAUAUUACCUUAAUUUAAUGUUCACAUUGUUGGGAAUGUAUAUGAAAUCAACGCCAGAGAGAUGAUUGAUUGUUGGAUAUGUAAGGUACGGGUGAGGAAUACUUUAUAACACUUUAUCAUUUAAAACAUUUUCGUUUAACUAUCAACUGUCUCUUGCUAAGUAAUAUAUUUCAACACCAAAAACGUCAUGUUAUUAUACAAUGUUUGUAAUCCAGCAAUGGAAAUCUACCAGAUUAAAACAUUCCAAAAUGAU
This is a long non-coding RNA of Pecten maximus, 3207 nucleotides long. RefSeq lists it as uncharacterized. The transcript is spliced from 2 exons. NCBI's taxonomy places the organism in Eukaryota, Metazoa, Mollusca, Bivalvia, Pectinida, Pectinidae. The record is from RefSeq and is a predicted model, not a curated record.